GACGAACGCUGGCGGCGUGCUUAACACAUGCAAGUCGAACGGAAAGGCCCUGCUUGCAGGGUACUCGAGUGGCGAACGGGUGAGUAACACGUGGGUGAUCUGCCCUGCACUUCGGGAUAAGCCUGGGAAACUGGGUCUAAUACCGGAUAGGAGCCAUUUUUAGUGUGAUGGUUGGAAAGUUUUUUCGGUGUAGGAUGAGCUCGCGGCCUAUCAGCUUGUUGGUGGGGUAAUGGCCUACCAAGGCGGCGACGGGUAGCCGGCCUGAGAGGGUGGACGGCCACAUUGGGACUGAGAUACGGCCCAGACUCCUACGGGAGGCAGCAGUGGGUAAUAUUGCACAAUGGGCGCAAGCCUGAUGCAGCGACGCCGCGUGGGGGAUGACGGCCUUCGGGUUGUAAACUCCUCUCGCUAGGGACGAAGCUUUUUGUGACGGUACCUAGAUAAGAAGCACCGGCUAACUACGUG
RNAcentral lists this ribosomal RNA (465 nucleotides) under uncultured bacterium. RNAcentral's name for it is "partial 16S ribosomal RNA". It matches the Rfam family "Bacterial small subunit ribosomal RNA", at positions 28 to 507 of the family's 1533-position model. The record is from RNAcentral.